CUGUCUCCUGAAGUCGAUCAAUGAAUUUGAUAACCCAGUACAAACGCUGAAAUAUACACACAAGACGAGAAGACCCUGUGGAACUUUAAAUACUCGCACUAGCAGGCCCCACAAAUACGCCCACACUAGUACAAUUUUAAGUUGGGGCAACUACGGAGUAAAACAAAACCUCCACGAACCGCGACUAGCCCUCGCACACAAGGCGGACACGCCAACAACCAUGCAAAGCUUGAUCCAGUAAAACUGAUUUCCGAACCAAGCUACCCCAGGGAUAACAGCGCCAUCCCCUUCAAGAGCCCAUAUCGCCAAGGGGGCUUACGACCUCGAUGUUGGAUCAGGACACCCAGGCGGUGCAGCCGCUGCCAAAGGUUCGUUUGUUCAACGAAUAAUGUCCU
Molecule: ribosomal RNA, 395 nt
Filed under: Lygodactylus pictus
Lineage: Eukaryota; Metazoa; Chordata; Lepidosauria; Squamata; Gekkonidae
Description: partial large subunit ribosomal RNA
Rfam family: Bacterial large subunit ribosomal RNA
Source: RNAcentral